Myotis lucifugus (little brown bat) is the source of this 581-nucleotide long non-coding RNA. RefSeq lists it as uncharacterized. Lineage: Eukaryota; Metazoa; Chordata; Mammalia; Chiroptera; Vespertilionidae. The transcript has 3 exons. The record is from RefSeq and is a predicted model, not a curated record.
UGUAGCUCUUCUGAGACACAGUUCUGCAAGAACCAGCUUAUCCACGCUCUCCGAUCUCGUGUCUGUUUCUCUUUCUCCCUCUCUGGUGCUGCCCCUCAUUCAUUCACUCUUCCAUCUUCUUGCCAUUGUGCCAGCUCAAUGUUAAGGGUAUCUGCUCCGUAUCUGUUCAAGGGGAGAUAAUCCAUGCAAAUCAGCAGCAGUGGCUUUCAAUGCGUGGUUCCCAGAGAGGACUCAGCUUGCGGAGGUCACUCGUUCACAGCCGCUCCUCCCAUUACAUUUUUCCCCUUAUUGCAGGACCGCUGUAUGUAUACAGUGACUGAAAGGACUCAAUUUACUGCAACUGCUGCCUGGCUUUCCUUACAAUUUUUUUUUAAAUAGAGGAACUUACCUCCAUCUGUCUUUUCAAGGUCGAAGACCACUUACUCUAAACAUCACAACUAAUGCUGAAGAGUAUGGAGCCUACAUAGAUGCUAAGAGCCCAAUGUUUCCAAAGGACAUUAAUUUUGAUUUCUCUGAUGAAGGCGUGUGGCUGCCCCUCAUGUUUUACAAAAUAUUACCAAGUCAGAGCCAAAAAGAGAAUC